This 205-nucleotide ribosomal RNA is filed under the name uncultured bacterium. Its description in RNAcentral is "partial 16S ribosomal RNA". It matches the Rfam family "Bacterial small subunit ribosomal RNA", at positions 127 to 334 of the family's 1533-position model. The record is from RNAcentral.
UGUCUUGUGGUGGGGAGUAGCCGGCUAACGCCCGGGUAAUACCGCAUACGGUCGCUUGGGGAGUCCCCGAGCGAAGAAACCUCCGGGGCACAGAGAGGGGCUCGCGGCCUAUCAGCUAGUUGGUGAGGUAAUGGCUCACCAAGGCGACGACGGGUAGCUGGUCUGAGAGGAUGGCCAGCCACAUUGGGACUGAGAUACGGCCCAG